UGGGUUCAGUGCAUGGCGUGAUGAGGUCUGAUGGGUUCUGUGUAUGGUGUGAUGGAGUCUGAUGGGUUCUGUGUAUGGUGUGAUGAGGUCUGAUGGGUUCUGUGCAUGUUGUGAUGAGGUCUGAUGGGUUCUGUGUAUGGUGUGAUGAGGUCUGAUGGGUUCUGUGCAUGUUGUGAUGAGGUCUGAUGGGUUCAGUGCAUGGUGUGAUGAGGUCUGAUGGGUUCAGUGCAUGGCGUGAUGAGGUCUGAUGGGUUCUGUGCAUGUUGUGAUGAGGUCUGAUGGGUUCUGUGUAUGGUGUGAUGAGGUCGGUUUGGUUCUGUGUAUGGUGUGAUGAGGUCUGAUGGGUUCUGUGUAUGGUGUGAUGAGGUCUGAUGGGUUCUGUGUAUGGUGUGAUGAGGUCUGAUGGGUUCUGUGUGUGGUGUGAUGAGGUCUGAUGGGUUAUGUGUGUGGUGUGAUGAGGUCUGAUGGGUUCUGUGUAUGGUGUGAUGAGGUCGGUUUGGUUCUGUGUAUGA
This is a long non-coding RNA of Haliotis rubra (blacklip abalone), 512 nucleotides long. RefSeq lists it as uncharacterized. The transcript has 3 exons. The record is from RefSeq and is a predicted model, not a curated record. Lineage: Eukaryota; Metazoa; Mollusca; Gastropoda; Lepetellida; Haliotidae.